UGGGAGCUCACAAAAUUUAAGUGGAUCGGAGAUAGACGAGAGGAAUCUUUCAUUCUUAGGCUCAGAUGUCGGGAUCUGUACGGAGGAGAGCUAAAAGUUGACCCACCAAAACCUUCCCUCUCUACCUCUCCACCCCAAGCGAGACACAUCCAAGGGUUGGCUGUCCAGCGGCUGGGACAUGGAGCUGGUCUCUGAAGGCUUUUAACCCCUCGGCCACCAGACAGCUAGACCUUGGCAGAAACCUCCAGUCUGACUUUACACUCGGAGACGCUCUACAUCCAGUGAGCUGAUUGGUAGUUAAACGAGGCUUGUGUUGAGUUCACCUACUCAUGCUGUCUCUUUGCUUUAUGUCCUGGCUGAAACAGGUCAUGACCACAAAUUCCUGCCGUCUUCUCAAGUGUAUCUGCUGAUGCAGAGUGUGUCAACUCUGAGCUUGCAGGGAUCUUUUGUGGUAAAAAUUUUAGAUAAAUUCAAGCAGUAUUGUUUAUGCUAAAUUCCAGUCAUUAUCUCUUCUCGUCCAGAGGCCCUGCAGAACGGCUUGUUUUUCUUGCAUGUUUGCAGAAGCGGUGUGAGUCAGUAAGUGUCAGCCUGCCGUAACAGACGGCCUGCACGAGGUAAUUAGCCCGAAGUCAUUUGGAAGCAGCUCAGCUCUGCCCAGGUGCCUACUGCACAGAGACCAGGCGACCUUUUACUCUGCUCCGUCCCACUGCAGUCACUUAAAACAGAGAUGGAUACCCACCCCCACCUUUUUACACCUCCACCCUUGCCUUAUUUAUCCCUUUUUUCCCUCCUUUUUUCUCCACUAUCCCAUUUUCACUCUUCCUCCAGAGGGGAGUGAUGACUAGGAAGAGGUGGCACCCCCACCUCCACAAGAUCUCAUUAAUAUGUGCUGGCCGGCGCUCAGGUGACGUGGCCGCUAGAUUCGGUCCCGACUGCAGGAACACCAGCAGCGAGGUGGCGAACAGGACAGCAGGUAAGGAGACAGAGAGCACGAGGGAGAGAAGGAGGGAGGAGAUUGGGAUGGACUUCCUUUAUGGACUUGACUCCCCGGGUUGUGCACACUCAACUCUGCUGCAAGGCAAAGCACACACAUUCAUGCACUAGUCCAUCUAGGUUCUGCAGCUUAUCUGUGUCAGUACACUCAGCUGAGCAGAUUAUUAAAUGGAUCCAUUUACUUCCAAUGUUACUCUUCAUUGUAAACAGUGAUUUUA
Long non-coding RNA from Melanotaenia boesemani (Boeseman's rainbowfish), 1211 nucleotides. RefSeq lists it as uncharacterized. Lineage: Eukaryota; Metazoa; Chordata; Actinopteri; Atheriniformes; Melanotaeniidae. The record is from RefSeq and is a predicted model, not a curated record. The transcript is spliced from 3 exons.